Molecule: non-coding RNA, 679 nt
Organism: Dermochelys coriacea (leatherback sea turtle)
Lineage: Eukaryota; Metazoa; Chordata; Testudines; Dermochelyidae
Source: the annotation of a RefSeq genome assembly
UCUUAAAAGGAAGGACAUGGUCCUAUGUUCAUUGGAGCAUCUCCUUCAUACUAGACUUAUUGCUGAAACUCAUGAUGGCUCACUUUUGUCUUAAUGACUGUCAGUCAAAUCAACCUCAUAUGGAAAUGACAUAUCUACAACCAACAGAACUGUUCUCGGCUGCUACUUAAGUGAGUCACUUCCUCUCCCCAAAGGCACUCGGCCCGCCAUCUGAGAUCCUAACUUACAGCCUUCUGUUUCUUACAUGCAGGCUCAACUAAAGUCAGCGAGAAUGUUACUGGUGCAGGUUCUUAUUGUGACUUCAAUUUGUUCAUAUGGAGUUGCACAAAUACAAUUGACACAAGUUCAGUUAUCCAUCACAAGGAAAACAACGAAAACAGUAAGAAUUGAUUGUAAAGUUUCUGGCAUCAGUUUUGGUGAUGCUUAUAUACACUGGUAUCGACAGAGACCUGGAGAAGCUCCUGAGUGGAUACUCUACUUUAAGACACAAACAGAAAAAUCAAGUUUUGACAACAACAAGUUUAACGUUGACAAGACAACUGAAAAAUCCACCUGUACCCUAACAGUAGACAAACUAACCUACAAUGACAUGGCUAUCUAUUACUGUGCCUUCUGGGAUCACACAGUGUUAGAAAGCCAUAGACAGGCUGUGCAAAAACCUCUGAGUCACAGAUUCUAA